GCAUCGAUGAAGAACGCAGCGAAACGCGAUAGGUAAUGUGAAUUGCAGAAUUCCGUGAAUCAUCGAAUCUUUGAACGCACCUUGCGCUCCAUGGCAUUCCGUGGAGCAUGCCUGUUUGAGUGCCGCGAAAUCUCCCACCCCUAGCGGUUGCUGCAAGGCGCCGCCGGGCGGCGGGGUUGGUUGGGUGCCGCUGCCUGGGCUUUGGCCCAGGCUCGCCCGAAAUGCAUGAGCGCUUAGCACUCGCACCGUCUCGAGGGAAGGCGGCGGAGCUGGCAUCUGCGCAUGGCAUGAUACGUCAUUUGCUGUGUGGCAGCCCAGCGACCCGAGAGUGUGUGUGCGCUACUACACGCCCUUUCAUUUCUGGUCUCAAAUCAGGUAGGAUCACCCGCUGAACUUAAGCAUAUCAAUAAGCGGAGGA
Molecule: ribosomal RNA, 418 nt
Filed under: uncultured fungus
Lineage: Eukaryota; Fungi
Description: eukaryotic LSU rRNA
Rfam family: 5.8S ribosomal RNA (bases 1-125)
Source: RNAcentral